GGGGGGGGGGGGGGGGGGGGGGGGGGGGGGCGGGGCGGGGGGGGAGGCGGGGGGCUGGCGCCGCUGACGGUCGCGGCGGGCGGGUGGGUAGCACGUGGAGAACCUACCUGUCAGCCUGGGAUAGCUGCGGGCGCCCGGAGCUCAUCCCGGAUCAUAUCUUGAACCGCGUUGUUCCAUAGUGAAAGCCGGUUUGUCUGUCACGUAUAGCGUGAUCCGCGCCGCAGUAGCUAGUUGGUCAGGUACAGGCUUACCCAGGCGACCACGCGUAGCCGACCUGAGAGGGGGAUCGGCCACCAUGGAACGGAGACACGGUACAGACUCCUACGGGAGGAAGCAGUAGGGAAUCUUCCGCAAUGGGCGAAAGCCUGACGGAGCAACGCCGCGUGAGUGAUGAAGGUCUUCGGAUCGUAAAACUCUGUUAUUAGGGAAGAACAAAUGUGUAAGUAACUAUGCACGUCUUGACGGUACCUAAUCAGAAAGCCACGGCUAACUACGUG
Molecule: ribosomal RNA, 497 nt
Filed under: uncultured bacterium
Lineage: Bacteria
Description: partial 16S ribosomal RNA
Rfam family: Bacterial small subunit ribosomal RNA
Source: RNAcentral